This 1000-nucleotide ribosomal RNA is filed under the name Alkalibacillus salilacus. Its description in RNAcentral is "bacterial SSU rRNA". It matches the Rfam family "Bacterial small subunit ribosomal RNA", at positions 492 to 1487 of the family's 1533-position model. The record is from RNAcentral. Lineage: Bacteria; Bacillati; Bacillota; Bacilli; Caryophanales; Bacillaceae.
CCCGGCUAAACUACGUGCCAGCAGCCGCGGUAAUACGUAGGGGGCAAGUCGUUGUCCGGGAAGUUAUUGGGCGUAAAGCGCGCGCAGGCGGUUCCUUAAAGUCUGAUGUGAAAAGGCCACCAGCUCAACUGUGGAGGGCCAUUGGAAACUGGGGAACUUGAGGACAGAAGAGGAGAGCGGAAUUCCACGUGUAGCCGGUGAAAUGCGUAGAUAUGUGGAGGAACACCAGUGGCGAAGGCGGCUCUCUGGUCUGUAACUGACGCUGAGGCGCGAAAGCAUGGGUAGCGAACAGGAUUAGAUACCCUGGUAGUCCAUGCCGUAAACGUUGAGUGCUAGGUGUUAGGGGGUCCAACCCUUAGUGCUGCAGUUAACGCAAUAAGCACUCCGCCUGGGGAGUACGGCCGCAAGGCUGAAACUCAAAGGAAUUGACGGGGGCCUGCACAAGCGGUGGAGCAUGUGGUUUAAUUCGACGCAACGCGAAGAACCUUACCAGGUCUUGACAUCUUCGGACAGCCCAAGAGAUUGGGUCUUCCCUUCGGGGACCGAAUGACAGGUGGUGCAUGGUUGUCGUCAGCUCGUGUCGUGAGAUGUUGGGUUAAGUCCCGUAACGAGCGCAACCCCUGAUCUUAGUUGCCAGCAUUGAGUUGGGCACUCUAGGAUGACUGCCGGUGACAAACCGGAGGAAGGCGGGGAUGACGUCAAAUCAUCAUGCCCCUUAUGACCUGGGCUACACACGUGCUACAAUGGAUGGUACAAAGGGAAGCCAAACCGCGAGGUCGAGCUAAUCCCAUAAAGCCAUUCUCAGUUCGGAUUGUAGGCUGCAACUCGCCUGCAUGAAGCCGGAAUCGCUAGUAAUCGCGGAUCAGAAUGCCGCGGUGAAUACGUUCCCAGGCCUUGUACACACCGCCCGUCACACCACGAGAGUUGGCAACACCCGAAGUCGGUGAGGGUAACCAUCACGGAGCACAGCCGCCGAAGCUGGGGCAAUUUACCCUUACUC